Molecule: ribosomal RNA, 274 nt
Filed under: uncultured bacterium
Lineage: Bacteria
Description: partial 16S ribosomal RNA
Rfam family: Bacterial small subunit ribosomal RNA
Source: RNAcentral
AUACGGGGGGUGCAAGCGUUAUUCGGAUUUAUUGGGCGUAAAGAGCGCGUAGGCGGCUUGGUAAGUCAGAUGUGAAAGCCCGGGGCUCAACCCCGGAAGUGCAUUUGAAACUAUCAGGCUUGAGUAUGGGAGAGGGAAGUGGAAUUCCUGGUGUAGAGGUGAAAUUCGUAGAUAUCAGGAGGAACACCGGUGGCGAAGGCGACUUCCUGGACCAAUACUGACGCUGAGGCGCGAAGGCGUGGGGAGCAAACAGGAUUAGAAACCCGAGUAGUCC